GGGCAUGUAGCGCAGUUGGUAGCGCGCUCGCUCAGCAGUUGUGAUUACUUAAGCUGCGAGAAGUCUCCAAUUCAAAUCUGGACUUGUUUA
Non-coding RNA from Ceratobasidium sp. 414, 90 nucleotides. NCBI's taxonomy places the organism in Eukaryota, Fungi, Basidiomycota, Agaricomycetes, Cantharellales, Ceratobasidiaceae. The record is from the annotation of a GenBank genome assembly.